This 402-nucleotide ribosomal RNA is filed under the name uncultured bacterium. RNAcentral describes it as "bacterial SSU rRNA". It matches the Rfam family "Bacterial small subunit ribosomal RNA", at positions 357 to 776 of the family's 1533-position model. The record is from RNAcentral.
GGGAAUAUUGCACAAUGGGGGAAACCCUGAUGCAGCGACGCCGCGUGAGGGAAGAAGGUUUUCGGAUUGUAAACCUCUGUCUUUGGUGACGAAAGAUGACGGUAGCCAAAGAGGAAGCUACGGCUAACUACGUGCCAGCAGCCGCGGUAAUACGUAGGUGGCAAGCGUUGUCCGGAAUUACUGGGUGUAAAGGGAGCGUAGGCGGGAAGACAAGUUGAAUGUUUAAACUAUCGGCUCAACCGAUAAUCGCGUUCAAAACUGUUUUUCUUGAGUGAAGUAGAGGCAGGCGGAAUUCCUAGUGUAGCGGUGAAAUGCGUAGAUAUUAGGAGGAACACCAGUGGCGAAGGCGGCCUGCUGGGCUUUAACUGACGCUGAGGCUCGAAAGCGUGGGUAGCAAACAGA